UUCACCUGCCUCUGCCUCCCGAGUGCUGGGAUUAAAGGUGUGUGCCACCACUGCCCCGCCUUACUGGAUUUCUAAUGCUUCCCGUUUUGGUUUAAACAAAAAGAUUCAGAGUCAAAAAUGUUGGACAGUCAGCCUUCUCAGGAGGUGCGAAGUGGUGACCGAUGCCAGGACUUGGAAUAGUUGGGCUGCUCCGAGUGCCCUUAAAUCCACGCUUUUUGCCCCAUCUCUCUAAAAAGGAACAGGCAAUUGUUACCUACCUGCUGGGGUUGUUUCUUAGAUGAUAGGACUUGAAACACAGUGAGUACUUGCUGACAAAUGUGCUGGUGAAGACCCAGCUCAUCCUUGGUGUGUAUUGUCAUUUUCUUAAGAACUGAACUUGUUCCAGGCAGUGGUGGCUCAUGCCUUCAAUCCCAGCACUCGGGAGGCAGAGGCAGACAGAUCUCUGUGGGUUCGAGGCCAUACUGGUCUACAGAUCAAGUUCCAAAACAACCAGGACUGUUACACAGAAAAACCCUGUCUCAAAAAACCAAGAGCUGGUUCUCUCCUUCCAUCCAUGGGGAUGGAACUCAAGUUGUCAAGCUUGGUAGCAAGCACUUCUGCUGAGCUGCAUCUGGAGCCCCUUGCUAGGUUUUAAAAUCUUUAUCACCAUUGUUAUUACUACUUCUAUUAUUAUUUAUGUGUGUUGGUGUUUUACCUGCAUAUGUGUCUGUGUAUGACGUGUGUGCAGGGCUUUCAGAGGCCAGAAGAGAGUGUCAGAUCCCCUGGAAUUGGAGUUACAGGUGGUUGUGGGCCACACCAUGUUGGUACUGGGACUCGAACUCAGGUCCUCUAGAAAAGCAGCAAGUUCUCGAACCAUGCAGCCAUGUCUCUAGCACCUAGCUGUUUUUAGAAUACCUCUGUCAUCAAUGCCACUAACAUGUGCUGGCCUCAGUUCUGGGGCUUUGCAAAAGGUUCAGCAGAUGAUGCUGUUCUUUGACGCAAGGAAUUUGUAUUGCGUUUUCUAUCUGCAUGGAGCUCUAGAUCUUUUUUUUUUUUUUUUUAAUUGUGUCUUCCUGUUUCUAAAUCUAAGAAAAUAUGAUCAAUGGAAGUGCUUGCUUAUAGAAAAUCGAAACUAGGAAUCCCAAACAAUAUUUGUAUACAACUAUUGAGGAAUGAAUUUAUGGGAUCCAAACCAUUACAAAGCACUUUUGCUUUUGUGGGACAUUUGACUGUCACCUCUCCAUGCUCUGUCUUUCCCCACAGCUGGCUGAACAGGCAGGUCCUAGGCAGUUAAGACUCGGGAUUAGCAUUUUUAUUGUCUCAUUCCACAGCUAGACCAAACCUUUGAAGUUCUUAUUGACUGAUGAUGCCAAGAUUCCAUGGAAGUAUAAGAUGAUUUAUUAUGGAAUCCCAGCCCCUUCUCCAGCAAGCCUGGGGUACAGGGCAAGUUGCAGCUGUCUGUCUUACUUGCUAGUGACCCAUGUGAGGAUGUGGCAGGGCUGUUUGUCUCUUGAGAACAGAAUAUUGUCCUUCAAGGUAGUCUGGGCUUCUAGGAUUAGAACCUUUUGGAGCUAGCCAGCUUACCUUCACUCUCCUCAAUUCCAGUUUUAUUUAUUUUUUUAAUUUUAACAAACACCUCUCACCCCUGAAGUGUGUGCGUGUCUGUGUGUGUGUGUAGUACUAGGGCUCAGACCAAGGGAUGCAAGCGUGCUAAGCAUGCUGCUUCCCACUCAACUACAUUCCCAGCCCCCCAUUCUAGUUUUUUAAUGGAGUUGAUUAUGGGAUGCCAAUGCCUUAUGAUUAGUGAUUACAGCACCCAGAUAACCAGGAAGAGCUCAGCUGAAUAACUUGCAGGUAGUAGGUGGAGAAUCCAGAACUGUCAUGUACAGGUACAUUGAAGACAGAAGAAGAUAGCCCUGCCAGCUACUCUGGAGGCCCUGGACAGUGGCAUGAGAGGUGGAAGAGGGAGAACAUAAGCCCUGAGAGGCAGAGAGGCUCCUUCCCUUUAGCCUCACUUCUCUGCAGGUGUGCACUAGCAUAUCGCUUGAUUCUGUCCUGUGACUCUGAAAAGGCUUCAACAGAACAUGCUGGUUUAUAAUCAAAGGAAUUUUCAAUCGGAUUAUAUUUCUAUCUGCAAGGAAAUAACUGAAGGUAGAUAUGGUGGUUUGAAUGAGAAUGGCCCCCAUAGGCUCAUAUUUGAAUGCUUAGUCUCAGGGAGUGGUACUAUAUGAAAGGAUUAGAAGAAUUAGGAGGUAUGGCCUUAUUGGAGGAAGUGUGUCAGUGGGGGUGGGGCUUUAAGGUUUCAAAAGCUCAUACCAGGCUUUCUUGGAUCAGGAAGUAGCUCUCAGCUACUGCUCCAGUGCCUGCCUGCAUGCUGCCACACUCCCUGUCAAGAGGAUAAUGGACUAAGCUUCUGGAGCUGUAAGCAAUUCCCUAAUUAAAUGCUUUCUUUCAUAAGAGCUACCUUGGUCACAGUGUCUCUUCACAGCAAUAGAACAUUGACUAAGAUAAAGACCUAAAAGAGCCCCCUACUUGCCCUCCUCACCUCCUCCUCCCCACCUGCCACACACAUCUCUCUGAGGCAGGGCCACAAAGUCUGUGAGACUCAAAUAGACUCAGAGCCAAAUCCCAGAAAAUCUACCAAGUAUUUCCUAUCUAUUGUAAAAUUCCUGGGAUCCAGGCUGACCAGACCACUCAGAAGGUACAGGUGAUUACAACCUGAUGAUACAGGCCUGGUAACCUGAGUUCCAUCCCCUAUACCUGCCUGGAGACGGAAGGAGGUAACUGUCUCCACAGAGUUAUCCUCUUACUCUCACAUGUGUUCGGUGUCAUGCGUGUACCCAUAUACAUACAUUCUACAUCCUCACACACAGUUGGAAAUAAAAAUAGUGCACACCUUUAAUCCCAGCACUGGGGAGGCAAAGGCAGGUGGAUCUUUGAGUUUGAGGCCAGCCUGGGCUAUAGAAUGAGUUCCAGGACAGCCAGGGAAGUUAUACAGAGAAACUCUGUCUACAAGCAAACAAACCCCCAGCACUCAGAAGGUAGAGGCAGGAGGAUGUUGCAGGCCAACCAGAGCUAAGUGAGGCCCGGUCUCAAACAACAAAACCUCUAUGAUCCAAGAUCUCAGGUCUUGCAGCAGCCAGUGUCCUUCCUGAAAGGCUACUAACCAGGUCUGGGCCUAGAAUUUGGGCCAGAGCAAAGUGACAAUACUGGUAUUUUUGCUAUUAAUUUGAUGGAUGGUAGAUGUCAGGAUCUUUUUUUAAAAAAAAUCAUCCAGAAUCUACACCCUUUUAAACAAAGCAGGGCACAGACGUGUUUAGCACAUUUCGUGUGAGGCUAUAUUAGCUCUUAACCACUGAGUCAUCAUCCUAGUCCCUUACUGAGCACCAUGGGAUGGGGGUUUGAGGAGAUCCAAAGUCAUUUUCUCAAGUCCAUAGUUCCAAAAUAGUCUUGUCUUGUAGGGGAAGCUGCCUGCUUAGGGGUGUGCCUGACCACGCCUUCAAGGGUGUGGUCAGGGUGAUGUAGAGUGAGAGGUUCAGGUGGCUGGGUUUUCAGUUUCGGUUUCACACUUUUCGGCUUGCUGGACAGACUGCUGCCACGACAGCUAGGUCGCUCUGUGGAUGACUGGAUCAAGAGACAAGACAAGAUUAAGAGAGAAACAAUUUGAUUUAUUAGGAAGAACUGUAAGGCCAAAGAACAAGGGAUUGGAACUCUGUCUUUAUCUGUAUUUAUUCAAUAAUCAUGGGUUGAGAACUGUGCCAUUGCUGACUAGUAAUGGUUAAAAACAGACAAAAUUACUGCCUUUAUGGAAGUUGUAUUUUGGAGUAGGAAAACAGUAUAACUUAAGAGGUCCUGGAAAGAUACCUGGAUCAAAAUAUCUGCCUGGCCACCAGCAUCAGGUCAUAUGCACCUGCUGUAUUGUUUCUCAAGAGCUCCAAGGGAGCCAUGUAGGAACAAACAUUUAAGUGACAAGAUGCCCUGUCGGUAUUAAUGAUCCAGGAAGAGUGGACUUGAGUGGGUUCCAGAGCUGGCUGAGGAGGCUCCUGCAGAAAGACAAGGCUUGUGAAAGGCACUGCCAGUGCAGUAAGAUCCGUAAGACCUACCCCAUCUGAAAAGUAUUAGUUUGUCUUGGUGGAAGAUGGAAAUCUUUAGCUCUCUCCUUCUGAAGGUCAAUUGUUUGAAGAGAUGAUGCUAUAAUCUGGGCAUUCCUGAGGGACGUGUCUGUGGCCUUCUCAAUUGUUUCUACAGUGGUCAUCUCACUUAGGACAUGUACAAGAAAUGAGUAAGCGUCAGUAGAAGCCCACUGGAGGAUACAUACAGACCUUAACUAAUAUAGUAUACAACCUCUUGUUCACAUUAAAAGAAUAUAUUAUAAACUGAGACAAGAUCUCACUUUGCAGGCCUUGCUUGCCUGGAACUUGCUAUGUGUGCCAGAGUGCCUUGAACUCACAGAGACCCACCUGCUUCAGCCCCCAAAUGCUGGGGGUAAAGGCAUAUGCCACCAUCCCUAGCUAAGAUUAUUUUUUUACUUAUGUGUAUUUUGUGUGAAUUCAGCAUGUGUAUGGGUGCCCUCUGGGGCCAGAAGAGGACUGUGGGUCCCUUGGAUGGUUGUGAGCCACCUGCUAUGAGUGCUGGGAAUCAAACCCGGGGCCUUUGGAAAAACAGCAAACACUCCUAACCACUGGGCCAUAUCUCCAACCCCCACCCAAUCCCUCCACCUCCCACACACUGUCCUUUCAAACAGCCAUUUAACUGUCAGAGCCCUCUAGGUCCCUUAAGUGACUAAGGCUUUGCUGACUUUCCUGCAUGCAUCUCCUUUUCAGUUACACCUCCAUCCUGGCUUUCUGAAACUUGCAAAGGAAUU
Molecule: non-coding RNA, 4843 nt
Organism: Cricetulus griseus (Chinese hamster)
Lineage: Eukaryota; Metazoa; Chordata; Mammalia; Rodentia; Cricetidae
Source: RefSeq, a predicted model, not a curated record